UCCAGAUGACCCCUGUUCUUUCUCAGCCCGUGCUUGUGCCAGAAGGUCUCGCUAUUCCGCUCGGCCUGGCCGCCGAUGCUGCUGCUGGGUGAUCGUAGCGUGUGCUCGGGUAGUUCUGCUGUUGCGUGGCGCUGCUGUGUGCAGGGAAUUGCGUAUGUCAAGAAAAUCCUUGCCUCUAGGCAGGUUCAACAUGGCUGGUACAUUCCAGGAAACACCUACACUUGAAGCUUCGUAUCCAGAAAAUGUUGAUGCUAAGUUGUCGUUUCUUCCUGAAAGACUGAGAAAGAAACUGCUUCCUUUUCAGGAGAAAGGCAUCAUAUUUGCACUUCAGAGAAAUGGCAGGUGUAUGAUUGCUGAUGAGAUGGGGCUAGGUAAAACAAUUCAAGCAAUUGCCAUUUCCUAUUACUACAAAAACGAAUGGCCCCUCUUAAUUGUAGUGCCUUCAUCUCUGAGAUACCCUUGGGUUGAUGAGAUGGAGAAGUGGAUUCCAGAACUCUCUCCGGAUGAUAUUAGCAUAAUUCAGAACAAAACUGAUAUUGGGAGAAUAUCAACCAGCAAAGUAACGAUUCUGGGGUACGGCCUGUUAACUUCUGAUGCGCAGACUUUAGUAGACGCUUUGUACAGGCAGAACUUUAAGGUAGUUGUGGUCGAUGAAUCGCACUAUAUGAAAUCCAGAAACGCCACCCGCAGCAAGAUUUUAUUGCCAAUUGUGCAGAAGUCUCUUCGUGCGAUUCUUCUUACUGGAACUCCUGCUCUAGGAAGACCUGAAGAGCUUUUCAUGCAGAUUGAGGCACUGUUUCCAAGAAGGUUUGGCACUUGGAAUGAAUAUGCCAAAAAAUACUGCAAUGCUCAUGUCAGGUUUUUUGGUAAAAGAACUCAAUGGGAUUGCAGAGGAGCCUCAAAUUUAGAAGAACUACAUCAACUUCUCGGUGAAAUAAUGAUCAGAAGACUGAAGAAUGAUGUUCUAACUCAGUUGCCUCCCAAAGUUAGGCAACGUAUUCCAUUUGACCUCCCACAAGCUGCAGCUAAGAAUUUAAAUAACACGUUUGCAGAGUGGGAGAAAUUAAUGAGAAAUCUGAGUUCAGAUGCCACUGAAAGCCACUUUUCUCAAGUCAUGAAUCUAAUCACACGCAUGUAUAAAGAAACAGCCAUUGCCAAGGCAGGAGCAGUAAAGGACUAUAUCAAAAUGAUGCUUCAAAAUGACAAACUGAAGUUUCUGGUUUUUGCUCAUCACUUAAGCAUGCUUCAAGCCUGUACAGAGGCAGUUAUAGAAAAUAAGGUUCGCUACAUACGAAUAGAUGGAAGCGUUCCUUCUGCAGAAAGAAUACAUCUUGUUAAUCAGUUCCAGAAGGAUCCCGAUACCCGGGUUGCUAUUUUGAGUAUUCAGGCAGCUGGUCAGGGUUUAACUUUCACUGCUGCUACUCACGUUGUGUUUGCUGAAUUAUAUUGGGAUCCAGGCCAUAUUAAGCAGGCGGAAGACAGAGCGCAUCGAAUUGGGCAGUGCAGCUCUGUGAACGUUCACUUCCUCAUCGCCAAAGGAACGAUGGACACGCUCAUGUGGGCAAUGCUGAAUCGCAAGGCCAAAGUUACAGGCAGCACCUUGAAUGGCAAGAAGGAGAAAAUGCAGGCUGAAGAAGGUGAUAAGGAGAAAUGGGAUUUUUUGAGUUUUGCUGAGACCUGGACCCCAAAUGAAAGUCUAGAAGAUCCCAAAAAUGAACUUUUAUUUACACAUUUUGAAAAGGAAAGACAGAACGACAUACGGUCUUUCUUUUCCCCAAAAUCCUCCACUGAGAAGAAACACAAAAUAUUUUCUGGUAAUGAAUAUUUACAUAAUGCUUCAGAAUCUUCUGAAGUCACAAAAGAAGAGGAUUCCACAAGAAUAAUUGAUGUGGAUGCAAUUUGUCUUGAAAAUACAUGUGAACGUGAAGCUAAAAGGGCAAAAAGAAUAAGUGGAUCUACUCCGGUCAGCUCCAAUAAGAAAAAGAAACUAUCUUUGACUGGAGAAAAGCUCUCUUUGUUUUCAGAAAAAAACAAUGAAGUCUUGCCUUGUGGCUUAAAUACCUCAAGCAAAAGUACAGCAUUAAAGAAAGUUUGGCACUGUGGUGCUUGCACUUAUAAAAAUAAUGAAUUGCUCCCUUACUGUGAAAUGUGCAAUUGCCCUCGAAGCAGUGAUGGUGAGAGAAAUGGGGAAGCUCCCACUCACCAGACUGAGGAAGAUGAUUUGUCGAAGGACUCCAGAAGAAAUGAAGAGGGAGCAGUGUGCAGUGCUGGAGAUCAGAAAGAAGAUUUGGGGGAACCAGUGACCCAGCAAUUUGUUGAAAUCGGCAAAGAGGAAACUGUUGAAAUUGAAGAUGAAAACAGUGAAAAAAAGCGUGGAGAAGGAGAUGGAGAUAAAUCAGAAACGCUUCCAAUAUAUGACGGUCUUAUGUUUUGUGCGAGUAGGAAUACUGAUAGAAUUCACCUCUAUACAAAGGAUGGUGAACCACUGAGCCAUAAUUUCAUUCCACUGGACAUACAGCUGGAUAACUGGGAGGAUUUACCAGAGGCUUUCCAGCAUAAACGGAAUCGUUCCUUGAUACUGAGAUUCGUGAAGGAGUGGAAUCAUCUAACAGCAAUGAGACAGAAGAUUGUCAGAAAAAGCGGUCAGAUAUUUUGUAGCCCUGCUCAUGCUGCAGAGGAGUUGUCUAAAAAGCAGUCAGUGGGCAGCAGCACUAAAAGGUACGUGACCAAGGAGGAUGUAGCAGCAGCGUCACUGAGCAAAGCGAGCAGCAGCGGGGGCAGCGUUCGCCUCAUCUCCAAACCCAGUGGGCUUUGGCUGAAGACUGAAAAUGCUUCUGUCGAACAAUCAGGUCAUUCCACGAAGUUGCUUCCAGAAGACAGCAAAGGCCCCUCAGCUCUUUGUUCAGAGCAGCAAGAAGCAGAAGGCUCCUCCCCGCCCAAAGGCUACUUGCAAGCCCUGGACAGCCAGGGAAACCCGCUCUGCCUCAGCUGUCAGCGGCCGACCGCCCCGCGCCAGCCGGGCUGCCAGGCCUGGGACACGCGCUUCUGCUCGCACGCCUGCCAGGAGGACUUCUCCAUUCGCUCCAGUCAGAGCUACCUCAGGACUAAAGUGUUUGAGAUUGAACACGGCGUUUGCCAGUUUUGUCAUCAAAACGCCCAGGAGCUUUAUCUCAGCGUCAGAGAUGCGCCCAUGAGUCAGCGGAAGAAACUUCUGGAGGGUUCUUGGAUGUCUCACCUUCCGCUUGGACAGAACAUGUGGUUCAGAGGAACAUCUGACGCUCCUGGUGACGUGUCCUUUGUUUGCUGCAGCUGAAUGAGAUGAUAAGGAACCCGACGGAAGGGCAGUUCUGGCAGGUGGACCACAUCAGGCCCGUCUACAGCGGAGGAGGACAGUGCUCCCUGGAGAACCUUCAAACGCUGUGCACAGCCUGCCACAGAGAGAGAACUGCAAAACAGGCCAAGGAAAGGAGCCAGAUGAAGAGACGGUCUUUAGCUACAAAGUACGGCUGUGAUAUCACAAAAUUUUUUGUGAAGUUGUAAAAUGCAAACUAUAUUCAAUUAUGUUAUAACUCAGAAAAAAAACAACCACAACCAAAACUUUAUAGUCUAUCAUGCUGUUGGUAAAGGAAAGAAAAUAUGCAACUAAAACCAAGAAAUCAUUGUUAAUGGUGACUGUCAGAGGGCCUUGGGUGAAUGCAUUCGAGGUACUUGAUCAUGGUUAUAUUUUUAUGACCCUGUGCUUUAAAGCCAAAUUUCUGUGGGUAAUCUUAAUGCAGUUUUGAAGCAUUAGUGUUUUCCUAUUAUUGUAUAGUUACACCUGCAAGAAUUUGAGGAAAUUCUGCUGAGGCUUCAAUUAGUUUUACGUGGUUCAGUUGUUGGGGACAUUGUGGCCCAAGAAGAUCUCUUAGAUUGUUUUCUUUGUUCAUGUAUCAAAAUUACUGAAGAAACUACAGCCUCUGCCCUCUAUUAUGACAGAAAUGGAGUGAUUUGUCUCUUCUGAAACUGUCUCAUACCUACAAACACUCAACAGCAGCCUUGGGAAUGCAAUUUGGCGCUGGGCCUGACUUACAUGACGUUAGCAUUUAGAAUUAAUGUCUGUUGAAACCUGUUUUUACUUAAAGCAGCUUGUAUUAAAAACUUACUCAUGACAGGGAACAAUAAAUAUUACUAAUGAUCUCAUCAAAGGUAGUUUCUGGCAAAUGGUGCAAACGCGUUCUCUUCAGUGAAUGCAGAGAUGCUCGUUCUUUUGGACUGUUUAUGUGACCUUCUUUACGGUCGCUUCAAAUAAAUGUCUUUUUCUCCUGAUAA
RNA transcript from Columba livia (rock pigeon), 4308 nucleotides. It is a transcript of the gene named zinc finger RANBP2-type containing 3, with no coding region annotated. The transcript has 21 exons. NCBI's taxonomy places the organism in Eukaryota, Metazoa, Chordata, Aves, Columbiformes, Columbidae. The record is from RefSeq and is a predicted model, not a curated record.